UCUAAAUGAAAGUUGUAGAGUAUGGUCUGACCUUCGCGUGGAUAUAAAGAACGUCGAAAACGGAGCUCGUAUGCGAAAGUUACGCAAUUUAGAAAUUCGACGAGUCAAUUACGCCCCGCGUACUCAGUCGGAUGCAACUUGUCUGACCAAUACUCGAGUGCCACCGGUCGACGUACGCAGUGACGUAAAAGUACGCCCCGUGUAACCGAGUAUGCCCCGCGUACUGAGUACGCCCUGUGUAAUUUGAGAUUACGCCCCGCGUAAUCCCAGACCCUCAGCCUAUAAAUAGAACUCGAAAUCAGCCAUUUUCUCUUAUUCGAACUCUUCCCUCUCUCUAAGUUUUGCCUCGAUUUGUGUGCUAAUCAUAUCCCGAAGCCCCGGUAUUAUUCCCGAGCCUCGAAGCGAGAUCCGAAGCCCCGAGAAUCCCGAAGAGCGUUAUUCCCGAGCCGAAGCCCAGCCCGGGAGGAGCCGGUUUUUGUGAAGGUCUUCCAGAUCUACGGAGAGACGCUACUUCUAUAAGCCGUAGUACUGUCGGAUCAUCUUCUGAUCAAGUGAGUGUGUAGUUAUUUUCUCUCCAACGCAAUAUUAUGAAGUAUUUAAUAUAAAAUACGUGCUACGUGUAUAUAUUUUGUGGUUAUAUGUGUGAAUGUAUAUUCUCUAUGAAAUACGUGUUAUGUGUGUAUGCCUCAUCUGUUAUGUGGAAUAUGUAUUGAUUAAAGCAUGCUAUACAGGUUUUUAAACAGUGUAUAAAAAUGUAUAUUUUUAUCUACUAAUAUGUUGGGUAGAACAUGGGUAAAUAAUUGGUGUGUAAUAAACAGAUGAGAGGCCUCGGUGUUAUUGGUGUUAUUCUAGUCAUUCAGCAGAGUAUGGAUGACGACCACAGACUAUUCUAGACUGUCCUGUGGAACACUAGCAGGCUCAUUACCUGUAGGUGUUGUGAACGACGUGUUCACCGGUGUACUCUAUCCCCCACAUGGUUGCCUUUAGGACACUUAUUGUUGAGGAAGCCCCUCUGCAGUAAUGUCCGUCCCGAUGAAAAUCCUGAAAUAAGUUCCUUAUAAUAGACGUUAUUUUUAGGAACGUAAGGUGAGGAUAACGGGAAUGGGUAAUCGGGUUUAUUGUUGAUUGAUGAAAUUAAAUAUAAUUAUUGUGGGUUUGAAAACCCUAUAUGCUCACCAGGCUCCCAAGCCUGACCCACUCAGUUUAAUUGUAUUACAGGAAGUGGCGCAAGAGCUUAAGAUGGGCGAAUCAUCAAGUCAUUUUUGUUUACAAGUCUGCAUAUGUAUAUAUUUGUUGAAUGACUUGUAAUGUAAUCGUUUAUGCUUUGUGAUCUGUAUCGGAACAUGACAUCCCGACUUUUGAUUAUGAAAUGAAAUCAUAUUUCUAUAUGAAAUGUUUUGAUAAAUAUCUAUCUUAUCAUGUUUUGUUUUUGGGAACAAAUUCCGCAUCUCUUUUAAAAUUAAAAGGAUUUACUCUGAAAAUGUUUAAAAAGCAUAAAUGAAAUCGGUCUUUUCUGGCCGAGAUUUUGGGGAUGUCACAGUUGGUAUCAGAGCAUUAGUUUAAGCGAACUAGGAAUUUGUAGGAUUUCUAGACUUAAACUUAGAAUGCUAAGUGGAGAUUGUGAGAUGUGUGUCUGAUAAAUUUUAGACACGAGCACUAGUUUAUUUUAGGAAGGUUGCCUAAAAUGCUUUUAUGUGCUAAAUGUUAUAUGUUGCCAUAUAUGAUAUUGUUUGUUCGGAUCUACGGUUUGUUGCCAACCGGAUCUGAAGGUUUAUGUGUUUAGGAUUCUAAGCGUAUGUAUACGAUAUUAGAACUAGCAUGUAAUCGUUUGGAGUAAUAAGGUGAAAUUAUUCGGUGUGUAGAUCAAAAAUGGUGAGAACAAGAAGCGGAGUUGGAAAUGCUGAUGAAAACAGGAAUCAACCGCCUGUAAUUCAACAAGUACCUGUCGUAGCUGAUGCACCUGAGCCGAUAACAAUGGCUGGUGUACAAAUGAUGAUUCAAAUGAUGUUGGAUCGUCAGAUGGAAGAAACAAGACGCCUGCUUAGGCAGAAUCGUGAAGAACCGUCAAUUCAAGCGGAAGAGCCCGAGGAGAAUGGAGGGCAGUCUGAAGGAGAAAACUUUAGUGGAAUCAUUGGUCAAGACGAACAACCAGUGGUUAGACGCAAUAACCAGUAUGGAGGAAAUGAUGGUCGUGGGUGCAAGUAUAAGGAUUUCAUGGCAUCCAAACCACCAUGUCUAUCCGGAAGCCCGACGCCGGUGCAAGUUAUGGACUGGGUCUCCGAAAUGGAGACUAUGUUUGAAAGUUGCGAAUGCAGCAACAGGCAGAAGACCGCUCUUGCGAUCCCUCUGCUAAAAUCUGGCGUGUUGAGUUGGUGGAAGCUGUUAGCUGACUCUAUGCCCAAGGGAGAAGCAAGCAAAAUGUCUUGGGAAGACUUUGUGGAACAACUAAAAAUGCAAUACUGCUCCGAGCAGGACCUUCUGGAAAUCAGUAAUGAGUUUCAGAAUUUGAAGAAAGGGAAAUUGAGCGUUACUGAAUACGCUGCAAGUUUCACAGAAAAGAUGAAGUUUAUCCCAUAUUUGGUGCCUACAGAACUCUCUAAGGUCAACAAGUUUGCCCUUGGACUACCAGCGGACUAUGGUCCAAUGGUUAAGCAAGCAACCACAUUGAAAGCCGCCAUCUGGGCUGCUAGAAAUGUUGAGACCCAGAUCAGGGAAAAAGGUCUGGAAAGGUCAGAGGUUGGCGAGAAAAGGAAAAUCGAUGGAUUUUCAGGGUCCAGCAAGAAAAGUAAAUUCUCGAAGUCUAGUUCGAGGGGAAGUGGAGGAAAGGUAGAAGCGAAAUGGUGUGACAAGUGCAAGAAGAAGCAUUAUGGGAAGUGUGGCGGGGAAACCACAUGCUUCAAAUGUGGAAAGCUAGGGCAUUAUGCCAAUGACUGCACCUUCACCAAGAAUGUUUGUUAUGGUUGUGGUGAGGAGGGGCACAUCUCAAGGGAUUGUCCGAAAAAGAAGGAAGCAGCAAGACCCAACAUUCCGCCAAAGCCAAAGGCGAGAGCAUUCCAGAUGACACUGGAAGCUGCUAAAGAUGAAGCUGAUGUCGCUUCAGGUACCUUUCUCGUUAACAAAUUGCCUGCCCAAAUUUUAUUUGAUUCUGGAGCCAACUACUCCUUUAUAUCGCAUGAAUUUGGUAGAAAACUAGCUUUGCCUGUUGAUAGACUAGAUAAUGCUUUAUUAGUCGAAGUUGCUAGUGGCAAGUUUGUACCUGUUAGCCAUCGUAUGAAAAACAUCUUAAUUGAUCUGAAUGGAAAUAAGUUCCACGAGGAAUUAUUGCCUAUCGAACUUAACGGUUUCGACAUCGUUUUGGGAAUGGAUUGGCUUAGCGCCAAUGAUGCCGAAAUUUUAUGCAAGAAGAAAAUAGUGAAAGUGAACCCGCCUGGGAAGGAAUCGUUUAUGGUGUACGGAGAUAAACGCAGAGUAAACUCUGGAAUCAUUUCUCUAAUGAAAGCCAGAAAAUGUUUGACCAAGGGGUGUACAUCAUACUUAGCAUUCGUGAUCGACGCUAAGAAGGAAAAGAAGGUGAUGCAAAAUAUUCCUGUUGUGUGUGAUUAUCCGGAAGUAUUUCCCGAAGAUCUUCCUGGAUUACCGCCCGAUCGACAAGUAGAAUUUCGUAUCGACUUGUUGCCCGGAACAACGCCAAUUGCAAAAGCACCUUAUCGAUUAGCACCGACGGAGAUGAAGGAGCUAAUGAUGCAACUUCAGGAGUUAUUGGACAAAGGUUUCAUUAGACCUAGUUCAUCACCCUGGGGAGCUCCGGUGUUAUUCGUAAAGAAGAAAGAUGGAAGCAUGAGGAUGUGCAUUGAUUACCGAGAGCUGAAUAAGGCAACAAUAAAGAAUAGAUAUCCGUUGCCGAGGAUUGAUGACCUAUUCGAUCAACUACAAGGUUCAAGUUAUUUUUCAAAGAUCGACCUGAGGUCAGGAUAUCAUCAGCUGAAAGUAAGGGAGCAGGAUAUAGAGAAGACCGCAUUCAGAACGCGAUAUGGACACUAUGAGUUCUUGGUUAUGUCGUUUGGACUAACCAAUGCUCCAGCAGCAUUCAUGGAUUUAAUGAACAGAGUUUGUAAUCCGUUCCUUGAUAAAUCUGUGAUAGUGUUCAUAGAUGACAUUCUGAUUUAUUCAAAAAGCCAAGAGGAGCAUGGCAGACACUUGCGAGAAGUGUUAGAAGUCUUGAAGAAGGAGAAGUUGUAUGCGAAGUUCUCCAAAUGUGAUUUCUGGAUUCGUGAAGUCCAAUUCUUGGGUCACGUGGUCAACCAAGAAGGGAUAAUGGUUGAUCCAGCGAAGAUCGAAGCUGUGAUGAAGUGGGAACAACCGAAAAGUCCCACGGAGAUCCGAAGCUUUUUAGGAUUAGCCGGAUAUUACCGAAGGUUUAUCCAAGGCUUUUCUUCGAUCGCUAGUCCAUUAACAGCUUUGACCCACAAAGGAGCUACUUAUGCUUGGAGUGAUAAGCAUAAAGAAGCAUUCGAGAAGCUAAAGAAGAAGCUAUGCGAGGCACCGAUACUUUCUCUACCCGAUGGAGUUGAAGACUUCGCUGUUUAUAGCGAUGCGUCUGGGGUUGGAUUGGGUUGCGUUUUGACCCAAAGGGAUAAGGUGAUCGCAUAUGCGUCUCGACAGCUGAAAGAGCACGAAAAGAACUACCCGACUCAUGAUUUGGAGUUGGCAGCGGUAGUUUUCGCACUGAAAAUAUGGAGGCAUUACCUCUAUGGCACGAAGUGCAAACUUUUCACUGAUCAUAAGAGUCUCCAAUAUCUCUUUAGUCAGAAAGAAUUGAAUAUGAGGCAACGACGCUGGCUGGAAUUACUUAAGGACUACGACUGUGAGAUACUUUACCACCCCGGUAAGGCCAAUAUUGUUGCUGAUGCUCUCAGUCGGAAGGUCAAUCUUGAAAAGAAAAGGCCAAGAGCGUUGAGAAUUGAAGUUGUCUCGACUAUUUUGGAAAGUAUAAAGAAAGCUCAAAGCGAAGCUUCUGAGAAGAAUGACCGAAAGGAGGAACGUUUGGGCAAAACGUUGGUGUUCGGUGUAAACAGUCACGGACUGAAGGUGUUCCAAGAUCGGAUUUGGAUACCUAAGACAGGAGGAGUCAGAGAUCUUCUGAUGGAAGAAGCUCACAAAACCAUGUACUCGAUUCAUCCCGGUAGCACAAAAAUGUAUAGGGACCUGAAACCCUAUUAUUGGUGGCCGACGAUGAAGCUCGACAUUGCGAAGUAUGUGGCCGAGUGUGUGACCUGUGCAAGAGUCAAGGCACAACAUCAGAAACCAUACGGGAGUUUAGAACCAUUACCUGUGCCUAUGGGUAAGUGGGAAGACAUUGCUAUGGAUUUUGUCACUAAACUGCCCAGAACAAAAAGUGGUCACGACAUGAUUUGGGUGGUCGUUGAUCGAUUCACUAAGAGUGCGCAUUUCAUAGCAGCCAAGGAGAAAUGGUCUAUGGAAAAGCUUGCGAAUUCUUACGUGAAGGAAAUUGUGAGGCUUCACGGUGUUCCGUUAACGAUUGUGUCGGAUCGUGAUAGUCGUUUCACCUCACGAUUUUGGAAAAGUCUACAAGAGGAAUUGGGUACCAAGUUGUGUUUAAGUACAGCUUACCAUCCGCAGACUGAUGGUCAGAGUGAAAGAACGAUACAAACACUUGAAGAUAUGCUGAGAGCGUGUACCUUGGAAUUCCUAGGUAAUUGGGAUGAACAUUUACCUUUGGUAGAAUUUUCCUAUAAUAAUAGUUUUCACUCGAGCAUAAAGAUGGCACCUUAUCAAGCAUUGUAUGGACAGAAGUGUCGUACGCCGUCUUGUUGGCUUGAGGCUGGGGAAAAGCAGUUUAUGGGACCGGAGAUAGUCCAUCAAACUGCUGAAAAGUUGAAAAUAAUUAGGGAAAGAAUGUUAGCAGCUCAGGAUCGUCAAAAGAGCUAUGCUGACAAAAAGCGAAGACCGAUGACUUUUGAAGUUGGAGAUUCGGUUUUGCUUAAAGUCUCGCCGUGGAAGGGACUUAUAAGAUUUGGUAAAAGGGGAAAGUUAAGUCCAAGGUUUAUUGGACCGUUUAAAGUUCUUCAGAGGAUUGGGAACCAAGCUUACAAGCUCGAACUACCAGAAGAACUGAAUGGAAUUCAUAACACUUUUCAUGUGUGUUAUUUGAGGAAGUUCACGGGAGAAGUUCCCGACAUAAUUCCACUUUCGGAGUUGAGGAUCGAUGAGAACAAAAGGUUGAUUGAGGAACCGGAGGCAAUCGUUGACCGAAAGACUAAGAAAUUGCGACGUAAGAUGGUUGAGUUAGUGCUUGUCCGAUGGAAACACACGAAUGGGCCGAAUCUCACCUGGGAGACGGAGAGUGACAUGAUGAGUCGCUAUCCGCAUUUGUUUGCUGGUGUGUGAUUCCGGGGACGGAAUCAUUCUAAGGUGGAGAGAAUUGUAACGCCCGUGUUUCUGGGCUUGCCAUUUUUAGCAAUGUAAUAGUCUAGGUUAACCUUUGUAACCCCAAUUUGAAAUAAUAAAAAUGUAUUAUUUGUGAAUUAUGUGAAUUAUGUGAUUUAUGUGUUUAUUUUCUUAAUUAUUAUAAUUUAAUGAAUUAAGAAUAAAAUAAGCGUCAAAAUUAAAGUGUGAGAUAAGCCCGAUAUCUUUGCAUAAAGUUGUAGUGGUUGAAACAAGGAUUCCGGAGAUAUAAGGAAUGCCAAAAUCCGAGUUAUAACGAAGAAGUUAUGACCUGUCGAAGUUUCGCGACAGAACCGGCACGACGUCGAGUGACGUAAAAUAUGAAUUUAAGAUAGAGCGAUAUUUAGCCUUAGCGAUCUAAACGAAAGUCGUAGAUUUCGUUAAACCGAGAGCGUGCAUAAAAGGAACGCCCAAAUCUGACUUCGUAUGAGGAAGUUAUGAUUUUUCUAAGUUUUGACUUAGCAGUAUGCAGCCCAAAUACUCGAUUUGAGAUCGAGCAGUUUUUAGCCGAAACAAUCUAAAUGAGAAUCGAAGAUCUCGUUGUUAGUAGCGAAACGAUGAAAAGUUAGGCGAGAACGGACGUCAGACGAAGAAGUUAUGAAUUUAUAACGAAGUUUUUCUGUCCCGGCCUUCUAAAAAUAAAUAAUAAAAAUAAAAGUCAAAAUUAGCCGACGGAGUCUAAAUGAAAGUUGUAGAGUAUGGUCUGACCUUCGCGUGGAUAUAAAGAACGUCGAAAACGGAGCUCGUAUGCGAAAGUUACGCAAUUUAGAAGUUCGACGAGUCAAUUACGCCCCGCGUAAUUGAGUACGCCCCGCGUACUCAGUCGGAUGCAACUUGUCUGACCAAUACUCGAGUGCCACAGAUCGACGCAUGCAGUGACGUCAAAGUACGCCCCGCGUAACCGAGUACGCCCCGCGUACUGAGUACGCCCUGCGUAAUUUGAGAUUACGCCCCGCGUAAUCCCAGACCCUCAGCCUAUAAAUAGAACUCGAAAUCAGCCAUUUUCUCUUGUUCAAACUCUUCUCUCUCUCUAAGUUUUGCCUCGAUUUGCGUGCCAAUCAUAUCCCGAAGCCCCGGUAUUAUUCCCGAGCCCCGAAGCGAGAUCCGAAGCCCCGAGGAUCCCGAAGAGCGUUAUUCCCGAGCCGAAGCCCUGCCCGCGAGGAGCCGGUUUUUGUGAAGAUCUUCCAGAUCUACGGAGAGACGCUACUUCUAUAAGCCGUAGUGCUGUCGGAUCAUCUUCUGAUCAAGUGAGUGUAUAGUCCCUUUUCAAUACGCAAUAUUAUGAAGUAUUUAAUAUAAAAUACGUGCUACGUGUAUAUAUUUUGUGGUUAUAUGUGUGAAUGUAUAUUCUCUAUGAAAUACGUGUUAUGUGUGUAUGCCUCAUCUGUUAUGUGGAAUAUGUAUUGAUUAAAGCAUGCUAUACAGGUUUUUAAACAAUGUAUAAAAAUGUAUAUUUUUAUCUACUAAUAUGUUGGGUAGAACAUGGGUAGAUAAUUGGUGUGAAAUAAACAGAUGAGAGGCCUCGGUGUUAUUGGUGUUAUUCUAGUCAUUCAGCAGAGUAUGGAUGACGACCACGGACUAUUCUAGACUGUCCUGUGGAACACUAGCAGGCUCAUUACCUGUAGGUGUUGUGAACGACGUGUUCACCGGUGUACUCUAUCCCCCACAUGGUUGCCUUUAGGACACUUAUUGUUGAGGAAGCCCCUCUGCAGUAAUGUCCGUCCCGAUGAAAAUCCUGAAAUAAGUUCCUUAUAAUAGACGUUAUUUUUAGG
This 8237-nucleotide long non-coding RNA is filed under the name Lactuca sativa (garden lettuce). RNAcentral describes it as "long non-coding RNA (LSAT_LNC008049)". Lineage: Eukaryota; Viridiplantae; Streptophyta; Magnoliopsida; Asterales; Asteraceae. The record is from RNAcentral.